RNAcentral lists this long non-coding RNA (5343 nucleotides) under Nicotiana tabacum (common tobacco). Its description in RNAcentral is "long non-coding RNA (NTAB_LNC013783)". The record is from RNAcentral. Lineage: Eukaryota; Viridiplantae; Streptophyta; Magnoliopsida; Solanales; Solanaceae.
GCAGAACAAUCAUAAUUCAAAUUCAAACUUAGCAUUACAUCUAUCACUUAUUUCUUUUGUAGAAACAAGUGCUUGCUUUUAAUUUAAAAGACAGAACAAUGGCCUGGACAGCCACUUUCAGGGAUUACUUUAUGCAUUUCUGGGUAAUUCUAUUAAACUAGCUAUUUCAUGUUAAUGUGACAACAAUGCAACUAUCCAUACUCAUGGGAAAUAACUCAAUACCAACUAAAGUAAAUAAGAGUCCUAAAUACAGAUCUUAAAGUGAAUUUCAAAUGUUCAUGGCAUAUCAUUAUUUAACGUACCAAAGCAGACAUCAUAAAUGGACAAAUCAAGUAAAAAACAGAGGGAAAACAUCUAUCAAGCAUGGAACUCUUCAUUUUUUCAAAACACAUGAACCCUUCUUACAUGUCUAGAAUCAUGAAUGUGUACCUGAAAAUCAAAAAGGAAACAAGGGGAAUAAGGAGUCAAUAACAGCAGCAGUAGGUCAGCCCAGAAUCAGCAAGGAAGAGAUAUCAAACAGUAAUCAAACCCAACCUCAUGCGAAUCAAAAAUGACUUCAGAAAAAUGAACCUCGAGCAUCAGAACAGAACAGAAAUCAAUGGAACAGUCAAUUUCUAUGACAUUUCAGCUGCUUUUUAUUUUCUGUAUUCUCUAUCUCUUCUAAUCCCCUAUGAAAUAGUAGAUUUUUUUUUUUGCAGUUUUUCUAUAUUUUCUGGAUUUCAGCUCUCAGAAAUCUCUGCCUUCAAAGGCAAGAUAAGCUACCUUUAUAGGCAAGGCACUAGGGCAACUAAAGGAGGAUCAGAUUUGCACCUAGACCCUUUUCAUAUUUUCGUUUUUGCUCAAAAGCCCUUAGCUUAAAAUAUCAGAUUUCAUCUAAGCCCCCACCCCACUUUCCUAGAAGUUUCUGAAUUCUGUUACUCAAGAUUCCCUAUGUCUUUUACCCAAACUAACCCUUAAUUGCCCUGUUUUUACCCUGAACCCAAAGCAGAUAUGGGUCAAUCUUGACCCAAAACUUAAAAGGCUUUUGCAGUGGGGUCGAGAAUAGCCUCAAGGCCCAAACAAAAUCAGAAGCUCAUUUUAAUGAAUCAAUAAUCACUUGGGAGAUUUUAAAACUAAAAUUCUAGCUAAAUGACCGAUUUCUCUUUUUAGCCUAACUAAUGAACUAUAAUUAAACUAUAUUACCUAAUCAACCAUAGCUAAUUAUACAAUUAGAAGAAUCAGAAAUUGUGACCUAAAUAAAGCUAAACAAGCAACAUACACAAAUCAAACAAAACUGACGACAAAUUUGAAAAGAAAAUUAGAGAACACACAGAAUAAAUACGAACACCAAAAUGAAAACCUAGGUUUAAAACUUUUAUCAACUUUUAGUCAGAAUAAAAAUUAAUUAAAGAAAAAGGAGAAGAAAAGAAGAGGAAGACGGUGAAGUGAUAGAAAUGGACAGAAAAAUAAAGAAGCUUACCGACAAAACUUGACACCAACACUGGAUUUUCAAUUUAUCCCAAAAUAAUGUUAAUAGCUUGUUCUUUGUCAAGAACCAGUGACCAUCAUUGUUUCGUGAUAGACCUUGAACACUCAGGAAAAUCGGGGAAAUAGCCCUUGCAUGCACAGAAUCUGAUUUUGGGUUUUUAGGGUUUCACCCUUAAAAUCAAGAUUCGACGGGUUCUGGAAAGAUUCGAGGGAAACAAGUACCGGAUUUGGUAUGAAGGAGCCAUGGGGGUGUUUUGGUGUUGAUUUUGAUGGGGAUUUGAGUGGUCUAUGGCGUCGCCACCGGGCUCGAAGCAGUGGGGAAAGGGGGCGGCAGGUUAGGGUUCUUGCUGAGAGUCUCAGAAGGGGGGGGGGGUGGGGGGGUUGAACGAGAUGAAAUGAGGGGGGUAGGGUAAUGUUUGGACAUAUAAAUAUCCUUACCUCCCCAGUUCUAAUUCGUCCGAUCAGACUCGUUCAAUGGUCAAGAUGAAGGAAACUGGAACGACGUCGUUUGGUUGAGUGAGGGGAACCAGACCGGGUCAGGGCGUGGAUUUGGGCCGGGUUUCGGGUAGUUUGGAUGGGUUUCACAUUGGAAGAUUUGGGCCUGGGAGUUUAGUUUGAAAACUGGCCCAACCCAUUUCAUUUUUUAUUCAAAACAAAUUUAAUUCAAAACUCUUUUUCCUUUUUCCUUUUUCCUUUUUCCUUUUUCCUUUUUUCCCUUUUUUCGAAAUUUAAUUAAAAUCAAAAUUUAUUCCUAGAGCUAAAAAAAUAAUUAAACCUAAAAUGAUAAUUAACAUAAUUAAUUAAAAAUAAAUUAACAAAAGAAAGCUACUCAAAAUCAAACCUAAAAUUAAAAGUGCAAAUUAAACUAAUUUUGUGACUUUUCCGUUUUAUGCAACUAAAUGCAAAUGCAACGUAUUUUUGUAUUUUCACUAGUUAAAACGCAAAAACAAAAUGCGAANNNNNNNNNNNNNNNNNNNNNNNNNNNNNNNNNNNNNNNNNNNNNNNNNNNNNNNNNNNNNNNNNNNNNNNNNNNNNNNNNNNNNNNNNNNNNNNNNNNNNNNNNNNNNNNNNNNNNNNNNNNNNNNNNNNNNNNNNNNNNNNNNNNNNNNNNNNNNNNNNNNNNNNNNNNNNNNNNNNNNNNNNNNNNNNNNNNNNNNNNNNNNNNNNNNNNNNNNNNNNNNNNNNNNNNCUCACAAGAGGCUCUUUAAUCCAACAUGAAAAUGAAAAAAAUAAAUAAAUAUGCGAACAGACAAGCCCUUACAGAUCCUGAUCAUUGUAUUUACAUUAGCACCAUGUUGGGUAUGUUCAACCUCUUAAUCUGCUGUGGAAGGGAAGAUCUCUUAAUAAUAGAGAAAUACAGUCUGAACUCAUGGCUCUAUUGGAUGGUCAAUAAACUUAAAUGAGCCUUUACACAACCAAAAAUGUUUAUGAAUACUAUUCAAGGUAUAAAGUUCUCGAUUGACAAAAAUAACAUGUAAGAUGGCUAUUUCGAAUAGAUUGUACACACAAUUUUACUUUCAUAUAUAAAGAAGACAGUUAAACAGGAUAUGGUUUGUGCUUGGAUUGGCAAAAUAUAAAAAUUAAUUCUUUAACUUAAACAGCAAAUUGAUAAACUCUAAAAUGCAUGGUAUUCCAAUGAUCCUUUACAGAAGCACUUGAUGCCUCACUGGACCAGACUCAAGACUCAAUAUUCUUACAGGAAAGAAAUAUCCUUAUUAAAUGUGAAGCUGGCAACUUAUUAUGUAUGCAUUACGGCAUAGUCCAUCAAACAUAGUCAAGAAAAUUAGCAAAAAAUAGUUUUUCUUCUAGCCUCUAAGUUAAAACAAUUGCGAAAACAAUUAACUAUGUUAUUUGGAGGACCCUUUCAAUAAAAUCCAUGGUACAAAACAUUCCUAUAUUUACAGUUAUUAGAAUAACGAAACUAAAAGAAUGCUUUCCAAUCCACCUCCACUCUAAAACACACAUCAAGUACCUCCAACCAUAAAGAUCAAAGUAAUUCUUUUUCUUUUGGGAUGUAUGUAAUAUCUGCUAGUUAGGGACUAAGAACUAUCAAAGUAAAAGUCACAGGCAACAACUAUAUGCAAACUAAAAGAUGUUCAACUGAGAAAGAACAAAAGAUGAUCAUCUGAGCAAGGACUUGUGGCUUCAAUACUCAUCAAUACAUACAAUCAGCAAAAUGAAAUCCAAAAUAUUGAUUCAACAUGUUGAUUUCUUAAUGACUAAAGUCAAUUUUAAUGAUUUUCUAAUCCGUCGUAUAUUCUCUUAUUACUCUUAGCAAGUAAAAAUAUUCACUUUAUUAAGGCCAAGCUUGUUUGCUUCAUAAUAGUCCAACAUGCUGCUUAUAGGGACCAUAAUGGUUAGAUUCACUAUUUAAAAUUUGACAUGUAUCCAGUCUAUUAUCAUUACUCUAAACGUCAUUGUACGUAGGUAUACAAUUAGUCAUUCUCAUUAUAUAGAUAAUCUCUUGUAACACAUGAAAGAAAAUUAGACAAAGGUGAACAGUAAUCCUUUUCAAAUAAAGUGCAUUGUUCAUCAACACACCCAUAGUGCCCUAUGCAUCAACCAUUUCAAGAAAUUAAGAAAACUAAUUACCACAUACUUUUUUAUAAUAAGUAACAUCUAACGAAUAUACUCACAGUAAUCAUUGAUACAAAGAUAGAUCAUCAAAGUCAUUUAACGGGAAGAAAACACACCAGCAAAACAUAUAUGAAACUUGGGAGUAGACUACUAUUUAAUAAUUAAAAACUUCCACAUCAAAAAUCAAGAUUUUCAGCCACAUUAGUGUGUGAAAAUACCUAGGACACCAGAAAUUUACCAAUGAAAGUACACUGUUUUUUUAAUCAAAAUCAAGUUGGUCCUUGGGCUCAUUAUUUUUGACUCUCAAUUGCCAUUUAAUACUAAAAGGUUGUUAAAAAAAAUUAUUAAGACAGUACAAGUUUUAAGACAAUUCUUUGAUAAGAGCUUUAGAAACACAUUCACCAAAUUGAUGCUUUAGUCUGUUAAAAUAUUAUGAUUAACCAUAUUUUUCUCUCAUUAUAACAGCCCUCAAAUUGCAAAAUUAACAAGUACGUGAAGCACCCAGGAAAGCACGAAACUUCAAAACUCAGCAACGUUAGAGUUUAAAAAUGCAGUUUUACCACCCGAUUCUAUUACAAAAUCAAAAAUAUGAAAAGAACCAAACUAAAAAAAGAGAAGGGAAAGGGAUUUUGGAAAGAUCAGAGAAGAAACAGAUGAAGAGAACCUGCAAUAGCCACUAAACUUCAGAACUAGCCAAAAGAAUACAAAGGGGAAAAAGGAGAAAAAAUGAGAGAAAAAGAUAUCAGGAACCAUUAAAUUUCAAAGCUAACAUUAAUGACCCAAAGAAAAGGAAGAACCAAAAAAAAAAAGUACCUGCAGCUACACUUUAGAGCGAGAAGACAAGCAUUUGCAAUACAAGUUUUGAAAGAAAUUGAAUACUCAAAGCUGAACUCUGGAUUUCAAUUCAUCUCCACAAAAAAAAAAUAAAGAACGUUCCCCCAAUUUCAUUUAUCAAAACUCUAACACGAAAAAUUUCGGAUCUUCUUGAAUAUAUAUAAAAUCUGUCUUUAAUUCAGUUUAUUUUCAUGAAUUUGCGGUAAACCUCCAUUGCCAUUGAUAUAAAAAGAAUUGUAUGUGGGCUGAAACAAAUUGGAACAAAAAAAGGAGAAAAACACAUAGAUAGCAACAAAAUUAAUUUUAAAGAGUAAAAUAUUUACCUGCAAAUUGAAGAGAUUUGAGAAGACCGUAGAAAAUCUGAGUAAGCUCUGUAACUCCAUUGUAUACGAUAUAUUAGAAGAGAAGAAAAGUGAAGCGUAUAUGUGAGAGUAGUUUAAAACCUACACGUAGUAUCUGGGGAGU